CUGGUGGGUAGUUUGACUGGGGCGGUCUCCUCCUAAAGAGUAACGGAGGAGCACGAAGGUUGGCUAAUCCUGGUCGGACAUCAGGAGGUUAGUGCAAUGGCAUAAGCCAGCUUGACUGCGAGCGUGACGGCGCGAGCAGGUGCGAAAGCAGGUCAUAGUGAUCCGGUGGUUCUGAAUGGAAGGGCCAUCGCUCAACGGAUAAAAGGUACUCCGGGGAUAACAGGCUGAUACCGCCCAAGAGUUCAUAUCGACGGCGGUGUUUGGCACCUCGAUGUCGGCUCAUCACAUCCUGGGGCUGAAGUAGGUCCCAAGGGUAUGGCUGUUCGCCAUUUAAAGUGGUACGCGAGCUGGGUUUAGAACGUCGUGAGACAGUUCGGUCCCUAUCUGCCGUGGGCGCUGGAGAACUGAGGGGGGCUGCUCCUAGUACGAGAGGACCGGAGUGGACGCAUCACUGGUGUUCGGGUUGUCAUGCCAAUGGCACUGCCCGGUAGCUAAAUGCGGAAGAGAUAAGUGCUGAAAGCAUCUAAGCACGAAACUUGCCCCGAGAUGAGUUCUCCCUGAGACUUAGAGUCUCCUGAAGGAACGUUGAAGACGACGACGUUGAUAGGCCGGGUGUGUAAGCGCAGCGAUGCGUUGAGCU
This 640-nucleotide ribosomal RNA is filed under the name Salmonella enterica subsp. enterica serovar Newport. RNAcentral describes it as "partial 23S ribosomal RNA". It matches the Rfam family "Bacterial large subunit ribosomal RNA", at positions 2258 to 2892 of the family's 2925-position model. Lineage: Bacteria; Pseudomonadati; Pseudomonadota; Gammaproteobacteria; Enterobacterales; Enterobacteriaceae. The record is from RNAcentral.